AGUGGCGAACGGCUGAAUAACACGUAAGUAACCUAUCCUAUAAGUGGGGAAUAACUCACCGAAAGGUGAGCUAAUACCGCAUAAAGUGGUUCUCAUAAUGGGGGAUCACCAAAGGAAUGAGCAAUCAUUUCGCUGAAGGAGGGGCUUGCGACCUAUCAGGUAGUUGGUGAGGUAACGGCUCACCAAGCCAUAGACGGGUAGSUGGUCUGAGAGGACGACCAGCCAGACAGGGACUGAGACACGGCCCUGACUCCUACGGGAGGCAGCAGUGGGGAAUUUUGCGCAAUGGGCGAAAGCCUGACGCAGCAACGCCGCGUGAGUGAUGAAGGCCUUCGGGUCGUAAAGCUCUGUCAGUGGGGAAGAACCGCCGGGUGGUUAAUACCUGCCUGGUCUGACGGUACCCACAAAGGAAGCACCGGCUAACUCCGUGCCAGCAGCCGCGGUAAUAC
Molecule: ribosomal RNA, 449 nt
Filed under: uncultured Geobacter sp.
Lineage: Bacteria; Pseudomonadati; Thermodesulfobacteriota; Desulfuromonadia; Geobacterales; Geobacteraceae
Also listed under: 1 other name
Description: bacterial SSU rRNA
Rfam family: Bacterial small subunit ribosomal RNA
Source: RNAcentral